RNAcentral lists this ribosomal RNA (597 nucleotides) under Trametes elegans. RNAcentral's name for it is "eukaryotic LSU rRNA". It matches the Rfam family "Eukaryotic large subunit ribosomal RNA", at positions 72 to 653 of the family's 3401-position model. Lineage: Eukaryota; Fungi; Basidiomycota; Agaricomycetes; Polyporales; Polyporaceae. The record is from RNAcentral.
GGAUUCCCCUAGUAACUGCGAGUGAAGCGGGAAAAGCUCAAAUUUAAAAUCUGGCGGUCUUUGGCCGUCCGAGUUGUAGUCUGGAGAAGUGCUUUCCGCGCUGGACCGUGUACAAGUCUCUUGGAAUAGAGCGUCAUAGAGGGUGAGAAUCCCGUCUUUGACACGGACUACCAGUGCUUUGUGAUGCGCUCUCAAAGAGUCGAGUUGUUUGGGAAUGCAGCUCAAAAUGGGUGGUGAAUUCCAUCUAAAGCUAAAUAUUGGCGAGAGACCGAUAGCGAACAAGUACCGUGAGGGAAAGAUGAAAAGCACUUUGGAAAGAGAGUUAAACAGUACGUGAAAUUGCUGAAAGGGAAACGCUUGAAGUCAGUCGCGUCGACCGGAACUCAGCCUUGCUUCGGCUUGGUGCAUUUUCCGGCUGACGGGCCAGCAUCGAUUUUGACCGUUGGAAAAGGGCUGGAGGAAUGUGGCACCUUCGGGUGUGUUAUAGCCUUCAGUCGCAUACAACGGUUGGGAUCGAGGAACGCAGCGCGCCUUAUGGCUGGGGUUCGCCCACAUUCGCGCUUAGGAUGCUGGCAUAAUGGCUUUAAACGACCCGUC